GUGUUGGGUGAAAUGAGUGGAUGUAGUGGUAGGUGAAUGUGUUGGGUGGUUGUAAUGAGUGGAUGUGUUGGGUGAAAUGAGUGGAUUUAGUGCUAGGUGAAUGGAUGUGUUGGGUGAAAUGAGUGGAUUUAGUGCUACGUGAAUGUGUUGGGUCGUUGUAAUGAGUGGAUAUGUUGGGUGAAAUGAGUGUGCUAAAAUGGUUAUUUAUAGGGAGAGGAUGAUGCACAAACUUCAAAUUUGGUCCAUUCCUUUUGCUCCAAGCAUAUGUUAUCCAUUCCAUGCCCAAAAAUGGUCCAAAAUGCACUUCUUUGCCACAUUAACCAUUUGGACCUAUAAGCACACGAAAAUAGCAUAAAAUACUAAAAUAACUACGAACUAACAACAUAAAUGCCAAGAAACAAGCUAACUACGUCGCAUAAAUAUGCUCCUAUCAAAUUCCCCCACACUUAGCUUUUGCUAGUCCUCGAGCAAAACAAAACAAACAAAACAAAACUAAACACAACCUAGACCUUCCAGCAAUUGCGUCAGGGAUUUUUAAUGAAACAUGACGUGUUAAAAAUCAUCAUUCCCGCAUAUUUUGGUCAUCCUUACACUUGAGCACAUACUUAAUCACAAUCACCACCUACUACUUCACAAUUAACCAAUUAAAACGAUGUUUUGAAUGUAGUAACAUGCCUUAGAGAAUU
RNAcentral lists this long non-coding RNA (686 nucleotides) under Malus domestica (apple). RNAcentral describes it as "long non-coding RNA (MDOM_LNC017491)". The record is from RNAcentral. Lineage: Eukaryota; Viridiplantae; Streptophyta; Magnoliopsida; Rosales; Rosaceae.